GUCUUGUCUAAAUUACGUGCCAGCAGACGCGGUAAUACGUAGAAGACUAGUGUUAUUCAUUGUUAAUGGGUUUAAAGGGUACAUAGACGGAAAGUUAAGCCUUAUUCGGAACUAAUUUUCUAGAGUUUUAUAUGAGGAGGUAGAACAUAUGGAGUAAAGUUGAUAUUUAGUUAUACUGUAGAGACAGGUAUCGGCGAAGGCGGCCUUUUAUGUGAAAACUGACGUUGAGGGACGAAGCCCUUGGUAACGAUAAGGAUUAGACACCCUAAUAGUCUUGGGAGAAAAUGAUGAAUGUCAUAAAUUAGAAAAUUUAGUUUAUAAACGAAAGUGCAAGCAUUCCACCUCAUGAGUAAAGCGGCAACGCUCAAAUUGAAAUCAUUAGACCGUUUCUGAAACCAGUAGUGAAGUAUGUUAUUUAAUUCGAUGAUCCGCGAAUAAUCUUACCACGAUUUGUAUAUUAUACAAGUGCUGCACGGCUGUCUUUAGCUAAUGUCGUGAGAUUUGGUUAACUCCUUUAAUUAGCGCAAGCCCUUACUUUAUUUAAAUAUUUUUUAUAAAGUAGUUCGCCAUUAUAACGGUUAGAUAAUA
Molecule: ribosomal RNA, 588 nt
Filed under: Dolabra nepheliae
Lineage: Eukaryota; Fungi; Ascomycota; Eurotiomycetes; Phaeomoniellales
Description: SSU rRNA
Rfam family: Bacterial small subunit ribosomal RNA
Source: RNAcentral